RNAcentral lists this ribosomal RNA (198 nucleotides) under Triticum aestivum (bread wheat). RNAcentral's name for it is "partial small subunit ribosomal RNA". Lineage: Eukaryota; Viridiplantae; Streptophyta; Magnoliopsida; Poales; Poaceae. The record is from RNAcentral.
AUGGCGUUGGACUGCCAGUUCUGGCCCCAGUUGCGGGACAUGGGCAUCCACCCGGUGCUGGACCCCUUCACGCUGGCCCGCACCAGGUCCCCCGCCCCCGCCACGUUCGUGAUCAGCACCAGGUUGAAGUACCUGAACCCGUUGAUCGUGAACCGCACCCCGCCCGACUUCCGGCACGCCACCCUUUACCGGCGGUAG